GAUGGCUCAGAAGAUGUAUUUGGUUCAAGAUUGGAGGGGGCGUUCCAGACCUCCACUUUGGCCAGUGAGGUAUCCACCCUAGAAAAUCGGAAUAAGUGGUUGCAGGCAAGCAAAGCAUAUGAUGGUGUCCCUGUGAUGUUCAGAUGGCUCAGAAGAUGUAUUUGGUUCAAGAUUGGAUGGGGAGUGGCAGACCUCCACUUUGGCCAGUGAGGUGAGUGGCUGUGGCAGACUGCAUGAUGCGUCCAAACCCUUCUGAUCAGACUGAUCCU
RNAcentral lists this long non-coding RNA (269 nucleotides) under Monodelphis domestica (gray short-tailed opossum). RNAcentral describes it as "lncRNA (ENSMODG00000039340.1)". Lineage: Eukaryota; Metazoa; Chordata; Mammalia; Didelphimorphia; Didelphidae. The record is from RNAcentral.